GAUGAACGCUGGCGGCGUGCCUAAUACAUGCAAGUCGAGCGAACAGACGAGGAGCUUGCUCCUCUGACGUUAGCGGCGGACGGGUGAGUAACACGUGGAUAACCUACCUAUAAUACUGGGAUAACUUCGGGAAACCGGAGCUAAUACCGGAUAAUAUAUUGAACCGCAUGGUUCAAUAGUGAAAGACGGUUUUGCUGUCACUUAUAGAUGGAUCCGCGCCGCAUUAGCUAGUUGGUAAGGUAACGGCUUACCAAGGCGACGAUGCGUAGCCGACCUGAGAGGGUGAUCGGCCACACUGGAACUGAGACACGGUCCAGACUCCUACGGGAGGCAGCAGUAGGGAAUCUUCCGCAAUGGGCGAAAGCGUGACGGAGCAACGCCGCGUGAGUGAUGAAGGUCUUCGGAUCUUAAAACUCUGUUAUUAGGGAAGAACAAAUGUGUAAGUAACUAUGCACGUCUUGACGGUACCUAAUCAGAAAGCCACGGCUAACUACGUG
Molecule: ribosomal RNA, 497 nt
Filed under: uncultured bacterium
Lineage: Bacteria
Description: partial 16S ribosomal RNA
Rfam family: Bacterial small subunit ribosomal RNA
Source: RNAcentral